AUGCAAGUCGAACGGUAGAGGGGGCAACCCCUCGAGAGUGGCGAACGGGUCAUUAAUAUAUCGGAACGUGCCCAGUCGUGGGGGAUAACGUAGUGAAAAUUACGCUAAUACCGCAUACGAUCUAAGGAUGAAAGCGGGGGACUCGCAAGAGCCUCGCGCGAUUGGAGCGGCCGAUAUCAGAUUAGGUAGUUGGUGAGGUAAAGGCUCACCAAGCCAACGAUCUGUAGCUGGUCUGAGAGGACGACCAGCCACACUGGAACUGAGACACGGUCCAGACUCCUACGGGAGGCAGCAGUGGGGAAUUUUGGACAAUGGACGCAAGUCUGAUCCAGCCAUUCCGCGUGCAGGACGAAGGCCUUCGGGUUGUAAACUGCUUUUGUACAGAACGAAAAGGUCUCUAUUAAUACUAGGGGCUCAUGACGGUACUGUAAGAAUAAGCACCGGCUAACUACGUGCCAGCAGCCGCGGUAAUACGUAGGGUGCAAGCGUUAAUCGGAAUUACUGGGCGUAAAGCGUGCGCAGGCGGUUAUAUAAGACAGAUGUGAAAUCCCCGGGCUCAACCUGGGAACUGCAUUUGUGACUGUAUAGCUGGAGUGCGGCAGAGGGGGAUGGAAUUCCGCGUGUAGCAGUGAAAUGCGUAGAUAUGCGGAGGAACACCGAUGGCGAAGGCAAUCCCCUGGGCCUGCACUGACGCUCAUGCACGAAAGCGUGGGGAGCAAACAGGAUUAGAUACCCUGGUAGUCCACGCCCUAAACGAUGUCAACUGGUUGUUGGGUCUUCACUGACUCAGUAACGAAGCUAUCGCGUGAAGUUGACCGCCUGGGGAGUACGGCCUGCAGGUUGGAACUCAAAGGAAUUGACGGGGACCCGCACAAGCGGUGGAUGAUGUGGUUUUAUUCGAUGCAACGCGAAAAACCUUACCCACCUUUGACAUGUACGGAAUUCGCC
Molecule: ribosomal RNA, 948 nt
Filed under: uncultured Burkholderiales bacterium
Lineage: Bacteria; Pseudomonadati; Pseudomonadota; Betaproteobacteria; Burkholderiales
Description: bacterial SSU rRNA
Rfam family: Bacterial small subunit ribosomal RNA
Source: RNAcentral